GUUGUCGUGGCCGAGUGGUUAAGGCGACAGACUAGAAAUCUUUCUGCGCAGGUUCGAAUCCUGCCGACCACG
Non-coding RNA from Oncorhynchus kisutch (coho salmon), 72 nucleotides. Lineage: Eukaryota; Metazoa; Chordata; Actinopteri; Salmoniformes; Salmonidae. The record is from the annotation of a RefSeq genome assembly.